AUACGUAGGGGGCGAGCGUUGUCCGGAAUGAUUGGGCGUAAAGGGCGCGUAGGCGGCCCGGUAAGUCUGGAGUGAAAGUCCUGUUUUUAAGAUGGGAAUUGCUUUGGAUACUGUCGGGCUUGAGUGCAGGAGAGGUAAGUGGAAUUCCCAGUGUAGCGGUGAAAUGCGUAGAGAUUGGGAGGAACACCAGUGGCGAAGGCGACUUACUGGACUGUAACUGACGCUGAGGCGCGAAAGUGUGGGGAGCAAACAGGGUUAGAUACCCUGGUAGUCCACACUGUAAACGAUGAAUGCUAGGUGUAGGGGGUAUCGACCCCUUCUGUGCCGCAGUCAACACAAUAAGCAUUCCGCCUGGGGAGUACGGCCGCAAGGUUGAAACUCAAAUGAAUUGACGGGG
Molecule: ribosomal RNA, 397 nt
Filed under: uncultured bacterium
Lineage: Bacteria
Description: partial 16S ribosomal RNA
Rfam family: Bacterial small subunit ribosomal RNA
Source: RNAcentral